This 1230-nucleotide ribosomal RNA is filed under the name Triticum aestivum (bread wheat). RNAcentral's name for it is "partial small subunit ribosomal RNA". The record is from RNAcentral. Lineage: Eukaryota; Viridiplantae; Streptophyta; Magnoliopsida; Poales; Poaceae.
AUGCCUCAGACAAGCAGGGCAGAUAAAUCGUCAAAGUCCUGCCAUGAGGACCGGCUCAGCGCCCUGCCGGACGACGUCCUGCACCAGGUCCUUGGCUUCCUGCAGGCGGAUGAGGCAGUGCGCACCUGCCUGCUCGCCAAGCGCUGGCGCUACCUUUGGAAAUCUAUGCGCCGUCUUCGCAUCAACGGAAGCGGGGGUGAGUGGUGGGGGAGCACUGACGUUUUCCUUACCAAGUUUGUGAGCUGCCUGUUGCUUCUCCGAGACCCUGGCUCGACUCUGGAUGAGGUCGAGAUCGAGUAUGCUAAUCAUUUUGGUGAUGAUCAUACUUGGAUAUCAACAUGGAUCCGUCAUGCUUUGUCAUGCCAAACUCAGGUCCUCACUGUCAAGUUCCCUUUGCCGGUGCACGUGGACCGCUAUUUGGAUGGCCCUCCUCUGGUCUCCCGGUAUUUAAGAAGAUUAGAGAUUUCUCAAGUGAGGUUGAAGAGCAACUUCCUAAAUUUUUCAAGCUGUUCAACACUGGAGGAUCUAAAGAUAAAAGACUGUGACUUAUAUGCUAGUAGCAUCCUGUCCCAGUCUGUAAAACAUCUGAGCAUCAAGGAUUGUUUUUUCAAGGAUGAUGUCCGGAUUAGUAUUUCUGUCCCAAAUCUUGUUUCUCUGCAACUCAGAUCAUAUGGAGGCAGAACCCCAUUUCUCGAAAGCAUGUCGUCAUUAGAAACCGCAGUUGUCAGUGUUGAAGUCUGGUCGGUGAAUUACUGUCGUAAAGGUUUUUUUGCUGGAGAGUGUUGUGGUACAUGUCUAGAUUGCUGUGGUAAUGGACACGGCUGCGUACUUCUUGGAGGUCUGUCUCGUGCUAAAAACUUGCAGUUGAUAGCUCAUCCGGAAAUGUUUAUUUUCAGAAGGGAUUUGAGAUGGUGCCCUACAUUUAGCAAGUUAAAGACAUUGUUGCUGAACGAGUGGUGUGUGCAACCUGACCUUCGUGCACUAGUUUGUAUGCUUGAACAUUCGCCGGUUCUUGAAAAUCUGACACUUCAAUUGUGUAAGCAAGAAAAACCUGCAUGUGCGGUGGAAGUGGAAGAAAAUCCUGGUUUGGUGGAGAAACCAGCGGCUAUUUCAGGAUACCUGAAGAUUAUUAGAGUGAAAUGUGAAGACGUUGAUGGCAGAGUUUGCAAAGUUCUGAACUUCUUGAGUACAUUUGGCAUUGAAAUUACUAUCCAACGGACCAAGGGAUAG